This 418-nucleotide long non-coding RNA is filed under the name Panicum hallii. RNAcentral's name for it is "long non-coding RNA (PHAL_LNC000026)". The record is from RNAcentral. Lineage: Eukaryota; Viridiplantae; Streptophyta; Magnoliopsida; Poales; Poaceae.
AUGUCGAUGGCCAUCCGCAGCGAGAGCUGGCAGAAGGGGAUGCAGUCCUGGUCUGGGCAGCCGGCGAUGUUAGCCACCAGCGCAUCCACGUAAGACUGCAUCACCGGGAUGAGCCUGGCAAGCCGUGCCGGUUGGUAGAGCGGGAUCACCGUGUUCCUCAUCGCCGACCAUGUCGAGUCCCUGACAUUAUAUGAGCACAGUAUGUUAAGCUCACUGCCUCGCUCAAAUUCAUGCAAGUGUUAGAGAUUUUUUUUCCAUGCCUUCUCUGAACAUUCCAGCCUACCUCCAUCUAGCUAAUGUUUCAACUUUCAAACUACUUGUCAGUUCAUUCGGUUAUCAUCAAUCACUAGCACCUGGUGAGGAAGAGGGCGUCCUGGUGCAGGGAGCCGAUGGUCGGCGGCGGGGUGCUCCUGUUGCG